Lynx canadensis (Canada lynx) is the source of this 854-nucleotide long non-coding RNA. RefSeq lists it as uncharacterized. The record is from RefSeq and is a predicted model, not a curated record. The transcript has 3 exons. Lineage: Eukaryota; Metazoa; Chordata; Mammalia; Carnivora; Felidae.
CGUCAGGCGCCGGGCAGUGGGCACCGACGCGGGCACUGGUCGUCUCUCCGGCAGCCCCUCCUUGGCCUGGGCCCUUCAGCAACCAGGACCGGCGGGUCACAGGUGCCUCACGCGGUUGGCCCGCGUGAGCAAAUGGAGAAACUGAGUCACGGGGCUGGCAAGUGGUUCUGCAGAAGCUGCGAGGCUGAGUCAGGCCGGGCGCCGGGAACUUGCGGGCCUCACGUGAGGGGUACGCCCAGGGCCAGUUGUGGAACCCUCUGAGCCCAGGCACAGAAGUUCCAGGACCUUCCGUAAGCGGCAGGCAACGCAGCCAAAUUGACGCUCCCAGACGACGGUGAGCAGCUACCGGCCUUCUCUCUUUGCUGUUGGCCUCCUGACCCACGGAGGGUCUGCAGGCUGUCUGGGUUGAGCCCCCUCAGCAGGGGCAAAAGGCUGCCCCUGGGGAUGUCUCUGGCUGGAAAGGGGGAACAGAGGCAGCAGCAGACCUGCCCCGCCCCCACUCACCCCCCCCCCCCCCAACUGCAGAACAGCCUCGGGGAAACUGCUAAUGAGGUCCAGGGUGAGCCCUCUGGCAGGCGAAAUGGGCAAUAUUGCUUCUCAUUAUAUUCUAAUUAGAUGUUUAAACUAAAAAUCACCUGCACACUUAAAGUAGUCAUUCCAAAAGUGUUUAAGAUACACACAAAAGUGUAAGUUGCACUUCAGUGUGUAGAGUAUGAAGCUAGUUCUGUAAAAGCAAAAUAAGUUACACAUUAAUAUUUGUAAAAGAAGUAAUCUGGAAGCAUAUACCUAAACUGUUAACAGAGCCUGUCACCAGAGAAGAACUUGCAAUAUUAAAUGUAAAUGUUUAUGAAAAA